RNAcentral lists this ribosomal RNA (440 nucleotides) under uncultured bacterium. RNAcentral describes it as "partial 16S ribosomal RNA". It matches the Rfam family "Bacterial small subunit ribosomal RNA", at positions 338 to 795 of the family's 1533-position model. The record is from RNAcentral.
CCUACGGGUGGCAGCAGUGGGGGAUAUUGCACAAUGGGGGGAACCCUGAUGCAGCGACGCCGCGUGGGUGAAGAAGCGCCUCGGCGCGUAAAGCCCUGUCAGCAGGGAAGAAAAUGACGGUAUCUGAAGAAGAAGCACCGGCUAACUACGUGCCAGCAGCCGCGGUAAUACGUAGGGGGCAAGCGUUAUCCGGAUUUACUGGGUGUAAAGGGGGCGCAGGCGGCGAUGCAAGCCAGGAGUGAAAGCCCGGGGCUCAACCCCGGGACUGCAUUUGGAACUGCGUGGCUGGAGUGCAGGAGGGGCAGGCGGAAUUCCUGGUGUAGCGGUGAAAUGCGUAGAUAUCAGGAGGAACACCGGUGGCGAAGGCGGCCUGCUGGACUGCAACUGACGUUGAGGCCCGAAAGCGUGGGGAGCAAACAGGAUUAGAUACCCUUGUAGUC